Molecule: ribosomal RNA, 483 nt
Filed under: uncultured bacterium
Lineage: Bacteria
Description: partial 16S ribosomal RNA
Rfam family: Bacterial small subunit ribosomal RNA
Source: RNAcentral
GACGAACGCUGGCGGCGUGCUUAACACAUGCAAGUCGAACGCUGAAGCUCAGCUUUUGUUGGGUGGAUGAGUGGCGAACGGGCGAGUAACACGUGAGUAACCUGCCCCCUUCUUUGGGAUAACGCCCGGAAACGGGUGCUAAUACUGGAUAUUCACUGGUCUUCGCAUGGGGGUUGGUGGAAAGGGUUUUUCUGGUGGGGGAUGGGCUCGCGGCCUAUCAGCUUGUUGGUGGGGUGAUGGCCUACCAAGGCUUUGACGGGUAGCCGGCCUGAGAGGGUGACCGGUCACAUUGGGACUGAGAUACGGCCCAGACUCCGACGGGAGGCAGCAGUGGGGAAUAUUGCACAAUGGGCGCAAGCCUGAUGCAGCGACGCCGCGUGAGGGAUGGAGGCCUUCGGGUUGUGAACCUCUUUCGCUCAUGGUCAAGCCGCAACAAUGGUUGUGGUGAGGGUAGUGGGUAAAGAAGCGCCGGCUAACUACGUG